Molecule: ribosomal RNA, 801 nt
Filed under: Triticum aestivum (bread wheat)
Lineage: Eukaryota; Viridiplantae; Streptophyta; Magnoliopsida; Poales; Poaceae
Description: partial small subunit ribosomal RNA
Source: RNAcentral
AUGAGGCCUGGCCGGCUUAUUCUGGUGCAGUCGGUAGUGGCGGCACGCCCCGUUCACCAUCUUAUGGUCACUGAGGCGCCGGAGUGGGUGCUUGAGGAUAUGAACAAAUGGAUGAGAUCAUUCUUCUGGGCGGGCAAAGACAAGUGUAACGGCGGACAAUGCCUAGUGGCUUGGGAUAAAAUCUGUCAGCCAAAAGCCGGCGGUGGUUUAGGUAUUAAAAACCUGAAGUGGCAAGCGAUGGCGCUUCGAGUCCGGUGGGAAUGACUAAAGAGGACUGAUGCUCAUAGACCAUGGCAGGGGCUACCAAUGACACCGGAUGAGGAAGCGAGAGAGGUGUUUGAUGCGUUGGUCAGUAUAAAAGUGGGUUCGGGCGACAAGGUACUUUUCUGGAAGGACAAGUGGAUCCAUGGAGUAGCGGCGGCAGAGAUUGCACCACUGAUCGUAGCCACUGUCCCGACGAGAACGGCGAACAGACGUACGGUGCACCAGGCACUUGAGGAUGGCUCUUGGGUGCAUGAUUUCAAGCAUAACACCUCAUUCACAGCCCUGAUGCAGUACAUGCACCUUUGCCAGGCUCUUGGUACGGUGGACAGAGACCCGUCACUGCCUGAUAGUUUCACCUGGCCGAGAUCACCGACAGGCACAUACACGGCUAAAUCAGUAUAUGACUACCUUUGCUCGAAGCUAGCUCGUUUGCCCACGGCUAAGUGCACCUGGAGAAGCUGGGCACCACUCAAAUGCAAGCUGUUCGUGUGGCUCGCCCUACAGUAUAGAAUCUGGACAUCCGACAGGAGGGCAUGA